GAUGAACGCUGGCGGCGUGCCUAAUACAUGCAAGUCGAGCGAACGGACGAGAAGCUUGCUUCUCUGAUGUUAGCGGCGGACGGGUGAGUAACACGUGGAUAACCUACCUAUAAGACUGGGAUAACUUCGGGAAACCGGAGCUAAUACCGGAUAAUAUUUUGAACCGCAUGGUUCAAAAGUGAAAGACGGUCUUGCUGUCACUUAUAGAUGGAUCCGCGCUGCAUUAGCUAGUUGGUAAGGUAACGGCUUACCAAGGCAACGAUGCAUAGCCGACCUGAGAGGGUGAUCGGCCACACUGGAACCGAGACACGGUCCAGACUCCUACGGGAGGCAGCAGUAGGGAAUCUUCCGCAAUGGGCGAAAGCCUGACGGAGCAACGCCGCGUGAGUGAUGAAGGUCUUCGGAUCGUAAAACUCUGUUAUUAGGGAAGAACAUAUGUGGAAGUAACUGUGCACAUCUUGACGGUACCUAAUCAGAAAGCCACGGCUAACUACGUG
This 497-nucleotide ribosomal RNA is filed under the name uncultured bacterium. RNAcentral's name for it is "partial 16S ribosomal RNA". It matches the Rfam family "Bacterial small subunit ribosomal RNA", at positions 28 to 507 of the family's 1533-position model. The record is from RNAcentral.